AUGUAUCUACAGAUGAACAGCCUGAAGAGUGUAAAGAGCUAUGAACUCACUCAGCCAGCCUCUUUGACUGUCCAGCCAGGUCAACCACUGACCAUCUCCUGUAAGGUCUCAUAUUCAGUUAGUAGCUUUUAUACAACCUGCAGGGAAAACACUAGAACAUCAACAGUCACCCUCGAAGCAUCAUUACCCAGCAACACAUUGUUUUUAACAGGACAGAGUCUGCAGACUGAAGACACAGCUGUGUAUUAUUGUGCUCGCCUCCACAGUGAUACAAACCAGCACUAG
Non-coding RNA from Oncorhynchus mykiss (rainbow trout), 285 nucleotides. The record is from the annotation of a RefSeq genome assembly. Lineage: Eukaryota; Metazoa; Chordata; Actinopteri; Salmoniformes; Salmonidae.